CCUACGGGAGGCAGCAGUGAGGAAUAUUGGUCAAUGGUCGGGAGACUGAACCAGCCAAGCCGCGUGAGGGAUGAAGGUACAGAGUAUCGUAAACCUCUUUUGUCAGGGAACAAAGGCGGGGACGUGUCCCCGGAUGAGUGUACCUGAAGAAAAAGCAUCGGCUAACUCCGUGCCAGCAGCCGCGGUAAUACGGAGGAUGCGAGCGUUAUCCGGAUUUGUUGGGUUUAAAGGGUGCGCAGGCGGUCUGUUAAGUCAGCGGUCAAAGCCCGGGGCUCAACCCCGGCCCGCCGUUGAAACUGGCAGUCUCGAGUUGGAGAGAAGUAUGCGGAAUGCGCGGUGUAGCGGUGAAAUGCAUAGAUAUCGCGCAGAACUCCGAUUGCGAAGGCAGCAUGCCGGCUCCACACUGACGCUGAGGCACGAAAGCGUGGGUAUCGAACAGGAUUAGAUACCCCUGUAGUC
Molecule: ribosomal RNA, 459 nt
Filed under: uncultured bacterium
Lineage: Bacteria
Description: partial 16S ribosomal RNA
Rfam family: Bacterial small subunit ribosomal RNA
Source: RNAcentral